AGAGUUUGAUCCUGGCUCAGGAUGAACGCCGUCGGUGUGCCUAAUACAUGCAAGUCGUACGCACUGGCCCAACUGAUUGAUGGUGCUUGCACCUGAUUGACGUUGGAUCACCAGUGAGUGGCGGACGGGUGAGUAACACGUAGGUAACCUGCCCCGGAGAGGGGGAUAACAUUUGGAAACAGAUGCUAAUACCGCAUAACAACAAAAGCCACAUGGCUUUUGUUUGAAAGAUGGCUUUGGCUAUCACUCUGGGAUGGACCUGCGGUGCAUUAGCUAGUUGGUAAGGUAACGGCUUACCAAGGCGAUGAUGCAUAGCCGAGUUGAGAGACUGAUCGGCCACAAUGGAACUGAGACACGGUCCAUACUCCUACGGGAGGCAGCAGUAGGGAAUCUUCCACAAUGGGCGCAAGCCUGAUGGAGCAACACCGCGUGAGUGAAGAAGGGUUUCGGCUCGUAAAGCUCUGUUGUUGGAGAAGAACGUGCGUGAGAGUAACUGUUCACGCAGUGACGGUAUCCAACCAGAAAGUCACGGCUAACUACGUGCCAGCAGCCGCGGUAAUACGUAGGUGGCAAGCGUUAUCCGGAUUUAUUGGGCGUAAAGCGAGCGCAGGCGGUUGCUUAGGUCUGAUGUGAAAGCCUUCGGCUUAACCGAAGAAGUGCAUCGGAAACCGGGCGACUUGAGUGCAGAAGAGGACAGUGGAACUCCAUGUGUAGCGGUGGAAUGCGUAGAUAUAUGGAAGAACACCAGUGGCGAAGGCGGCUGUCUGGUCUGCAACUGACGCUGAGGCUCGAAAGCAGGGGUAGCGAACAGGAUUAGAUACCCUGGUAGUCCAUGCCGUAAACGAUGAGUGCUAGGUGUUGGAGGGUUUCCGCCCUUCAGUGCCGGAGCUAACGCAUUAAGCACUCCGCCUGGGGAGUACGACCGCAAGGUUGAAACUCAAAGGAAUUGACGGGGGCCCGCACAAGCGGUGGAGCAUGUGGUUUAAUUCGAAGCUACGCGAAGAACCUUACCAGGUCUUGACAUCUUGCGCUAACCUUAGAGAUAAGGCGUUCCCUUCGGGGACGCAAUGACAGGUGGUGCAUGGUCGUCGUCAGCUCGUGUCGUGAGAUGUUGGGUUAAGUCCCGCAACGAGCGCAACCCUUGUUACUAGUUGCCAGCAUUAAGUUGGGCACUCUAGUGAGACUGCCGGUGACAAACCGGAGGAAGGUGGGGACGACGUCAGAUCAUCAUGCCCCUUAUGACCUGGGCUACACACGUGCUACAAUGGACGGUACAACGAGUCGCAAGCUCGCGAGAGUAAGCUAAUCUCUUAAAGCCGUUCUCAGUUCGGACUGUAGGCUGCAACUCGCCUACACGAAGUCGGAAUCGCUAGUAAUCGCGGAUCAGCAUGCCGCGGUGAAUACGUUCCCGGGCCUUGCACACACCGCCCGUCA
RNAcentral lists this ribosomal RNA (1434 nucleotides) under uncultured bacterium. Its description in RNAcentral is "bacterial SSU rRNA". It matches the Rfam family "Bacterial small subunit ribosomal RNA". The record is from RNAcentral.